CCUGCUAACAUCAGCAGUUGCUCUGAAUGGUCAUAGGUCAAUAAUAUGAAGUUAAAUGUAUCCGCAAAGACCAAAGAAUUGCGUAUCUGCUUUUCUAAUCUUAUUCCAUCGUUUGCCCCUAUUACCAUCCGUGGUCAAGAGGGCGACUUCCGAGGCAAAAUUGUUGGGCGUUGUUCUUUCAGACGAUCUUAAAUGGAACCGCCACAUAGACUACAUUUGCAAGAAAGCCGCGAAGCGUUUGUAUGGUCUGCGCCUUCUUAAAAGAAAUUCUUUACUUCUCAUAUCCUGAUCUCAACCUAUUGUACACAUAUUCGACCAAUUGUGGAAUAUGCUUGUCAGGUGUGGCAUUAUGGCCUUCCUCAGUACCUGAGUGAUCAAGUUGAAAAAAUCCGAAAAAGGGCAUUAAAAAUUAUAUUCCCUGGAGCUACCUAUGCUGAAUGUUUGCUUAAAGCAAACUUAAUGACUCUUUAUGAACGUAGAACAGUUCUUUGCAAGCGCCUUUUUUCGAAGAUGUUGGAACCCACUCAUAAAUUGAAUGCCUUAGUAUCGCCUAAAAACCUUCAAAGUUAUGAUCUGAGGUCUUAUUCUAACCUAUUAGUACCUAGGUGCAGAACUGAACGUUUUUCGAACAGUUUCAUUCCCGCUGCGUCUCGUGCUUAGGGGCGGACCAUUAGGAAAGUGAUGGGGGGGUGGGGAAGCAAAAAUAAAAAUCGAGCAGGGGAACAGAAAUAAAAAAAAAUUCGUGCACCAAAAAAGUUUGAAAAAAAAAUUCGUGCAGAGACUUUUCAAUAGGGAAAAUUAUAAGUUGACAGGGCCUAUCAGAUGUAUAGUGCUAGCCUCCUCCGCAGGUAUCUGGUGGUACUUACUUUAUUAAUUUUUUGCCUGCAAGAAAUUUUGCCCGAUAAUAUAAAGGCGAUGCCUGCGGAGGAGGCUAGUACAGUGUAAGAGUGGCCCCCAAAUUUGGAAAAUAAAAAAAAUAAUUUGGAACGUUUUUUGAUAUAAGUGUGAGAAAAAAAAUUCUAAACCUACAUUGGUGCAAAAAAGGGUUUUAAGCAUGUUUUAACAAGAAUUUGUCAGGGAAAAUUUGCUUUGAACCUUAACUGAACUGAUGUUAGUCCGGAAAAUUUUUUGACCCUUUUUUAUGU
Non-coding RNA from Paramuricea clavata, 1145 nucleotides. The record is from the annotation of a GenBank genome assembly. NCBI's taxonomy places the organism in Eukaryota, Metazoa, Cnidaria, Anthozoa, Malacalcyonacea, Plexauridae.